Molecule: unclassified non-coding RNA, 218 nt
Filed under: uncultured Hygrocybe
Lineage: Eukaryota; Fungi; Basidiomycota; Agaricomycetes; Agaricales; Hygrophoraceae
Description: sequence contains ITS1
Source: RNAcentral
CUGAAGUGAUUUGGGGAUGUUGCUGGCCUCUUCUCAGGGGCAAAUGUGCACUCCCUGAACAAUUCACAAUUUCCAUCACACCCUUGUGCACAUCUUGUAGGCAUCCCCUCCUCUCCAAGGCUUGGGGUUGUUCUAUGUAUUCUUUCAUCUCACACUUUUUUGAAUGGUGCUCUUGAAUGCAUCUUAUGGAUUAUUUGUAAAAAAAGUAAUCACAGAAA